UACGUAGGGUGCGAGCGUUAAUCGGAAUUACUGGGCGUAAAGCGUGCGCAGGCGGUAAGUUAAGUCUGAUGUGAAAGCCCCGGGCUCAACCUGGGAAUGGCAUUGGAAACUGGCUUGCUGGAGUGUGGCAGAGGGGGGUGGAAUUCCGCGUGUAGCAGUGAAAUGCGUAGAUAUCGUGAGGAACACCAGAGGCGAAGGCGGCUACCUGGACAAUUGCUGACGCUCAGGCACGAAAGCGUGGGGAGCAAAAGGG
This 253-nucleotide ribosomal RNA is filed under the name uncultured bacterium. RNAcentral describes it as "partial 16S ribosomal RNA". It matches the Rfam family "Bacterial small subunit ribosomal RNA", at positions 524 to 776 of the family's 1533-position model. The record is from RNAcentral.